UUCACCUAUGUGAACCUCAUGUAAAUG
Molecule: non-coding RNA, 27 nt
Filed under: Rattus norvegicus (Norway rat)
Lineage: Eukaryota; Metazoa; Chordata; Mammalia; Rodentia; Muridae
Source: RNAcentral